UUCAGUGCUGUGAUACUCUCUAAAACCAGACUGAAAUUCCUCAAACAGAUCAUUAGUGUUUAGAUGCUCACAUACUUGGAUGGCCACUAUUUUCUCCAGGACUUUGUAUAACAAUGGAAGGUUAGAUAUUGGUCUAUAAUUCAUUGGGUCAUCUGGAUCCAGAGGCUUCUUAAGUAAAGGUUUGAUUGCAUCAACCUUAACAUCCAUUUGCUAAGGAUAGAUUGAUUAUAUCUAAAAUGGGAGAAAUCUGUUGAAUAAUAUUGGCAACUUCAUAACAUGAAUUCAUGAAAAUCAGGUCUAAAAUACAUGGGAGUGGGUCUAUGAUUCUGGGCGAUGGCAUGUUUCCUUCUACGAGAGCCCAUGAGGACAAAAUGUGUUUACAAACUUGUGGUGUCUGAGGUGCUUGUCAUUUAGCUGGAGGUUGUGCUACCAGGGACUUUUGACCCUAAUGGCCACCCGUUAGUAAGGUCUUACUCUAACACAAAAAUAUUGCUUGCCUGCAAUGAUUUAGGUAAGUACUGCCCCCGUCACCAGGGAAAAUAUACACCGUCACUUUAAGGAUUCAACUCAUACGAUCCUGCAGGAACAGAAAACAACACAAUGCAUCGGACCACAGAAGUUUUAGCCUUCACAGAGCUUCACACAAAUACAAGCUCCAACAACUUAACCUGACCUUCCCAGCAGGAGCUACACUUUACUCAACAGGCUGCUGAAUUUACUGCUCUGGAAAGUCAGGGUUUAGCCAUGGCUUAUGCAGACCCUGCAGUCCAGCGGUGUGUGAGAUGAGACAGAACGAACGAUUUGCCACCAUAAAACAGGUCAAGCUCUUGGACCUAUGUGAUGACAGGCAUAUCUGCUGACGGAAAACUAACCAGCCAGCGGUCCAACACUCGAUGGUAAACAGCACACACUCAAUCACACCGCUAAUGCUGGGUUGGAAUGAAGGGUCUCUGUGAAGAACUUCUCGUCUACACGCAGGUCCGGAUCAUCCCUGGAGUCCUUGUUUAGCUGGAGUGGACGGAUAACUGACUCUAGGACAGAUGGGGAGCUUAAGAGUCAGUUAUUAAUCACCAUUUCAUCCAGCUCCAACAUUUAUUGUCAUUUCUUCAACGUUCUGGUGUAGCCUUGAUCAAAACUUAAUUAGUGCCUUUGCAAUAAUUAUUGAAAGUGUUUUGAGUCAUGCAGCACAUUUGCGGUUUCCUUUGAGUGUUUUGGUUCAGUAUUAAUGGGAGCUGCAGUACGAGCCUUUUCAUUUUGCACGACGCAAACGCAACACGUUAUUAACUUUGAAUCAGAGGAGCUCACUGGGAGCACAGGAGAGAAAUCGUAGGAGCAGGAUGAUUAAAACUGGCAGGACUUAAACAAAAAACAAGGCAGAGCACUCUGAAAAAAUUAGACGCUGCUAAUUUCUGAAGCACUUUCACCUUCAUCUGACUAACCUGAUAAAGGAGGAAAUGACUGUCUGGUGGGGAAAUUUGUACUUUAUACAAGGAAGAGAACAUCCGCCAUUAAACCAAACACAAGGAAAUCACGUUUGAUAUCGCUGUUUGAUGUCAUAUAUGAUGAUGUUCCUCUCCACUGCCAGGAUUGCAGCCAGGAAAAACACUGCUGCACUUCUGGAACGGUGCUGGGAGUAAACAAGCCGUUAGGUCACACGUAUUGGCGUAAUCUACAUAGCUAUGAAGUGGCAUUGCUGCAACCAUCUUUUAUUUUGAAAAUUCCGGGGGGGUUUUACUGAAACUGUAGGAUUUCCUGUCUAGCUUUAUGUUAUCUGUGGAAAUUGUCAUGUCCCAGAAGCGGCUUGAGGCAAAAACAGAACCCAAUCCCAUCUAUAGCGGUGGGGCGCAGCAAGGUGCUUCUGUGACCCACCUGAAAACGUUCCAGACGCGGCUGGUUUGAAUCGCUCCCACACACUAUAACAGAUUCUAUUUGAAGCAGAGACGUGCCACUAAUGCUUCCGGUGUGUAGGGGCUACUCAUUAAGAUUCAAGAUAUGCAAACAUCUUGCCUCUGAUUGGCCUAAAAAGUAGGCUGUAUGAUGUCUUUAGCUUCAGUCUGUCUUUAAAGGGACAAUGUGUAGUUGAUAUCAUUCAUCUCUGGAAAUUUCCAUCAAAAUGUUGCUGAAAAUGAAUUAAUAUAAAAACAUUUGGCCCGGGACAGUCAAAAUAAAAAUACUGACGGCUUCUUAACAUAUAACCAUAAAAAUCCAUUCUAAAAUACAAGGAGCGGGUCUAAGGGUGUGUCCAAAUCCACGGGAUGGAUGCUUGUAAGAGGGCAUUUUGAGGUUGAUGACGUCACAGCGCAGUGACGAGUACUGUCUGAAUUCCAAGAAUACUCAUUCUCGUGUCCUCAAAUGCGGCCUUGCUCCGCCCACAUUACGAGGACGGGUCUGUUGUAUCCUCACAGAACAAGGCUAUCCCAGCAUGCUUUGUGUGCCGGCUGUGGAUUUUCAACAGGAAGAGAAAAUGGGGAGAGCUACGAAGUUUUAAACGUAAGUUUGUUAAAAACUAGCUGUAGAAACCUAAAAAGCUUAAAGUGGUUCUGUUUAUAGACAUUUUUCGUUUGUAUAUUUGUUUUUUAAAUUACAUUUUAGGCAGAAAUCAGCCAGAACGAGUUUGUAUCGCGGGUUCCAGUUAUUCCUGUUUGUGUGUGUGUGUGUGUGUGUGUGUGUGCGUGCGUGCGUGUGUGUGUGUGUGUGUGUGUGUGUGUGGCGAAUUAAACUUGUCAUUUGUUUUAAGGUCAGCGGAGCAAAGAAGUGUUUUUAAUAAGCUUAGAGGUGAAGACUGAAGCUGUUUACACACAACCACAGAAGGUCUUCUGUAAAAAGUAGUUUUACAUUCAGGGAUUUACACAGCUGACACGUUAUAAUGAAGCAAAAAGUGUUUUUGUGAACAAUAUAAUUUUUAUCUUCUCAUGUGGAUAAAUGUAAAAAUGUGUUUAUUGCCUUUUUGUCACCUGCGGUCUCUGAUUUUCUCUGUAGGACUGCAGGUGUCCAGGGUCAGGAGAGGCUUUACCUGGUGGUCCUCCUGGGAGAGAGGCCUUCUACUGUCAUCAUGUUAAUGUUAAUUAGCUGUUUGAUAUUUUAGCACAUUUAUAAAAACAAAUACUAAAUGAUAACUCUUUCUGGUCAUUGAUUUUAUCACCAGUUUUAUUAUUACAGAUGUUUUUGAACAUGUUACAUGAACAGAGCGUGAAAAGAUGGUAAGGAGAAGAGAUUAUUUAUAAUACGUUACACUUAUUUACAGAUCAAAACCAGUAUGGACCAGUUAUGUUCGGUUAAAGCAGGAUUAACCUGAGUGACUCUUCCUGGAUCAUUUAUUCAAACUGAGUGAGCAGGAAGUCUUUAUCAGUGCAGCUGGAUCUGCUGCAGGAGGAUCCAGACGUGGAUGGAGGGCUGGAGCAAACCCGUGGCUGGACGUUUCUGGUCAGAGGAACAUCAUACAGGACGGUCAGCAGAGAGAGCUUUGGGACGCUUCCUCUCACUGUCCACUCCAUCGUCCAUCUACAGGGACUGCUGGGCUGGCUCAGACGACGGCUGUUACAUCUCUAAGAUGUAUUCAGAAAUAUGAAUAGAGGAGAUGGUUUAUGGAUCCACUGGUAUAACAAUUGUGACUCUUCAGCAAAUAAAACCACAGUGUUGUUUUUAAUAAAGGUUCUACAUAAAUGA
Molecule: long non-coding RNA, 3666 nt
Organism: Nothobranchius furzeri (turquoise killifish)
Lineage: Eukaryota; Metazoa; Chordata; Actinopteri; Cyprinodontiformes; Nothobranchiidae
Source: RefSeq, a predicted model, not a curated record